RNAcentral lists this ribosomal RNA (371 nucleotides) under uncultured organism. Its description in RNAcentral is "bacterial SSU rRNA". It matches the Rfam family "Bacterial small subunit ribosomal RNA", at positions 526 to 896 of the family's 1533-position model. The record is from RNAcentral.
CAGAGACUGCAAGCGUUAUUCGGAUUCACUGGGCGUAAAGGGUGCGCAGGCGGCCAAGUGUGUCAGGUGUGAAAUCCCGAGGCUUAACCUCGGAACUGCGCCUGAAACUACUUGGCUAGAGUACUGGAGAGGGUAACGGAAUUCACGGUGUAGCAGUGAAAUGCGUAGAUAUCGUGAGGAACACCAGAGGCGAAGGCGGUUACCUGGACAGUUACUGACGCUCAGGCACGAAAGCGUGGGGAGCAAAAGGGAUUAGAUACCCCUGUAGUCCACGCCCUAAACGGUGCACACUAGGUCUUGGCGGAUUCGAUCCCACAGGGCCCAAGCUAACGCGUUAAGUGUGCCGCCUGAGGACUACGGUCGCAAGACUA